CAAUAGUGGAGCGUGCUUGGCGACCGCAGAGCUACCUAGGCUGAAGGAGUGACGCAGGCUACCAUGAAUGUUGAAUAAUAGCAAUAGCCUAUUAAGCUAUUACAAAUGUAGUCUAUAGCGUCUUAAAACACCAAAAUAAAUAAUGAUCAUGACAGUCAAUGGAAAGAAAAUCACACGACACGUCAUGAUUGUGGGUUCGACUCCCAGCACACGAACGGAAAAUGAAUGCAUGCAUACUGUCGCUUUGGAUAAAAGUGUGUGCUUAAUGUCACAUUUAAUAUUAUUGCACACCUCAUUUGUGAGACGUCGAACAUUUUCCUUCAUGGAAAGUUUGACAGUAGCUAUGGGCUGCCUGCACAUUCUGAGAAGACGGAAGAAAAUAAAACAGCUAUUUAAACCAGCCUCUCCGACGGACUGUCUCCACCUUCCACCACCAUGCGCCAAAUACUCGACUGUUCACAGCCAGAAACCAGACUCUGUCUCUCCACCCUUAAACUGUCUCCACCUUCCACCAUCGUGUGCCAAAUGCUCAAAAUGUCAAUCUGAAGGCUGGCAACCUGAUCCGGAGAUGGUGUGGUUGGACAGUAAAUGAGUCAAUCUCAAAUAUUUUAACUGUUCAAUGUGUGUAGACUUUCACUAGGCACUGUAUACCCAUUGAUUAUUGAAGAAAAUAAGUUAUAAAUGCUUGUUGAGCAUAGUUGAACUGUUCUUCCCCAUCAGAACCAAACAUAGGCCUGUUUAACUGAAAACAAACAUUUUAUAGCCUCAAAACAUGAUUAAAACUGUAAAUGGCCAGUCCUUGCAUCCAUAGCACCUACAUGUGUAUGGUCAGUGCUAUCUGGAAUCCUUGGUACUUCCUACCCUAAACCAUAACCCUUAGCUUAACCUUACACAUAUCCAAAUCCCUUACCUAGCCUUAAACAUUUUAAAUGUCAACUUCAAUGGAGUAGGGACAUCCAAAGGAUUCUGAAUAGCACAGAUCAUAUGUUUAUCAUCUGAGAGCUGUAUCCAUGAAUACUGGGCAGGGGACACAAGAUAAGAGAGACUGGUGUGAGAGACAGACAGUGGCCUGGCCAUUGAAUUAGGAAUUACAAUACUAUUAUGACAUGGCAUGACAAUAGAUCAAAGACAAUUUAUAUUUUCAGAGGGACAUUGAUUCAAGGCCUUUGCGGCCCGCAGGCUGCCAGUUGCCCAUCCCUGACCUAGAGUCCUGAUAUUCUUUGCAUAUGCCCCUCUUCUCACAAGGAACAAAUUUGCCUCAAGGACCCAGAAGGUCUGCCAUGAUGGAUUUUCCGCCGAUCUGUAUGAAACUUGAAAUUACAUCUAUUUUUUAUUUAACCUUUAUUUAACCAGGCAAGUCAGUUAAGAACAAAUUCUUAUUUACAAUGACGGCCCA
This 1396-nucleotide long non-coding RNA is filed under the name Salmo salar (Atlantic salmon). RNAcentral's name for it is "lncRNA (ENSSSAG00000085112.1, ENSSSAG00000119266.1)". Lineage: Eukaryota; Metazoa; Chordata; Actinopteri; Salmoniformes; Salmonidae. The record is from RNAcentral.